RNAcentral lists this ribosomal RNA (29 nucleotides) under Fusarium proliferatum. Its description in RNAcentral is "partial 18S ribosomal RNA". Lineage: Eukaryota; Fungi; Ascomycota; Sordariomycetes; Hypocreales; Nectriaceae. The record is from RNAcentral.
AUCCGGAAGUCACUCCCAACCCCUGUGAC